Molecule: ribosomal RNA, 393 nt
Filed under: uncultured bacterium
Lineage: Bacteria
Description: partial 16S ribosomal RNA
Rfam family: Bacterial small subunit ribosomal RNA
Source: RNAcentral
AUACGGAGGAUGCGAGCGUUAUCCGGAUUUAUUGGGUUUAAAGGGUGCGUAGGCGGACGAUUAAGUCAGCUGUGAAAUGCCCGCGCUUAACGCGGGAAGUGCAGUUGAUACUGGUUGUCUGGAGUGCCGUUGCCGUGGGGGGAAUGUGCAGUGUAGCGGUGAAAUGCAUAGAUAUUACACAGAACGCCGAUUGGGAAGACGCCUCGCGAAGCGAUAACUGACGCUGAGGCACGAAAGCGUGGGGAUCGAACAGGAUUAGAUACCCUAGUAGUGCACGCAAUAAACGAUGAUCUCGAGCUUUUUGCGAUACACUGUAAGUGGCACAGCGAAAGCGUUAAGUGAUCCACCGGGGGAGUACGCCGGCAACGGUGAAACUUAAAGGAAUUGACGGGG